GAUGAACGCUGGCGGCGUGCCUAAUACAUGCAAGUCGAGCGAACGGACGAGAAGCUUGCUUCUCUGAUGUUAGCGGCGGACGGGUGAGUAACACGUGGAUAACCUACCUAUAAGACUGGGAUAACUUCGGGAAACCGGAGCUAAUACCGGAUAAUAUUUUGAACCGCAUGGUUCAAAAGUGAAAGACGGUCUUGCUGUCACUUAUAGAUGGAUCCGCGCUGCAUUAGCUAGUUGGUAAGGUAACGGCUUACCAAGGCAACGAGGCAUAGCCGACCUGAGAGGGUGAGCGGCCACACGGGAACUGAGACCCGGUCCAGACUCGUGCGGGAGGCAGCAGUAGGGAAUCAGCCGCAAGGGGCGAAAGCCUGACGGAGCAACGCCGCGUGAGGGAUGAAGGUCUUGGGAGCGAAAAACUCUGUUAGGAGGGAAGAACAUAUGUGUAAGUAACUGGGCACAUCGUGGCGGGACCUAAUCAGAGAGCCGCGGCUAAAUACG
This 495-nucleotide ribosomal RNA is filed under the name uncultured bacterium. RNAcentral describes it as "partial 16S ribosomal RNA". It matches the Rfam family "Bacterial small subunit ribosomal RNA", at positions 28 to 505 of the family's 1533-position model. The record is from RNAcentral.